Molecule: ribosomal RNA, 922 nt
Filed under: uncultured bacterium
Lineage: Bacteria
Description: bacterial SSU rRNA
Rfam family: Bacterial small subunit ribosomal RNA
Source: RNAcentral
AGAGUUUGAUCCUGGCUCAGUACGAACGCUGGCGGCGUGCCUAACACAUGCAAGUCGAACGGUCCGAGAAAUUUUUUAGUAAUAGUUUACUAGGACUAAAAUAUUUCAAGGAUAGUGGCGGAUGGGUGAGUAACACGUGGAUAAUCUGCCUGUAACACUGGGAUAACAUCGCGAAAGCGGUGCUAAUACCAGAUAGCUUCUUUGGUGCAUAUGUAUUAAAGAAGAAAGCUCCGGCGGUUACAGAUGAGUCCGCGGCUGAUUAGCUAGUUGGUGAGAUAAGAGCUCACCAAGGCGAUGAUCAGUAGCCGGCCUGAGAGGGUGUACGGCCACACUGGGACUGAGACACGGCCCAGACUCCUACGGGAGGCAGCAGUGGGGAAUUUUCCGCAAUGGGCGCAAGCCUGACGGAGCGACGCCGCGUGAGUGAAGAAGGCCUUCGGGUUGUAAAGCUCUGUCCUAUGGGAAGAAGGAAGUGACGGUACCAUAGGAGGAAGCCACGGCUAACUACGUGCCAGCAGCCGCGGUAACACGUAGGUGGCAAGCGUUGUCCGGAAUUACUGGGCGUAAAGGGCGCGCAGGCGGAUAUUUAAGUCAGAUCUGUAAUCUGUAGGCUUAACCAACAGCUCGGGUCUGAAACUGGCUAUCUUGAGGAUAGGAGAGGACAGUAGAAUUCCUAGUGUAGCGGUGAAAUGCGUAGAUAUUAGGAGGAAUACCAGUGGCGAAGGCGGCUGUCUGGCCUAUCACUGACGCUGAGGUGCGAAAGCACGGGUAGCAAACAGGAUUAGAUACCCUGGGUAGUCCGUGCCGUAAACGAUGGGUACUAGGUGUGGGAGGUAUCGACCCCUUCUGUGCCGGAGUUAACGCAAUAAGUACCCCGCCUGGGGACUACGGCCGCAAGGCUAAAACUCAAAUGAAUUGACGG